UGCUCAGUAACACGUGGAUAACCUACCCUUAGGACCGGGAUAACCCUGGGAAACUGGGGCUAAUACUGGAUAGAUGAUUUUUCCUGGAAUGGGUUUUUGUUUAAAUGUUUUUUCGCCUAAGGAUGGGUCUGCGGCAGAUUAGGUAGUUGGUUAGGUAAUGGCUUACCAAGCCUAUGAUCUGUACGGGUUGUGAGAGCAAGAGCCCGGAGAUGGAACCUGAGACAAGGUUCCAGGCCCUACGGGGUGCAGCAGGCGCGAAACCUCCGCAAUGUGAGAAAUCGCGACGGGGGGAUCCCAAGUGCCAUUCUUAACGGGAUGGCUUUUCAUUAGUGUAAAGAGCUUUUGGAAUAAGGGCUGGGCAAGACCGGUGCCAGCCGCCGCGGUAACACCGGCAGCUCUAGUGGUAGCAGUUUUUAUUGGGCCUAAAGCGUCCGUAGCCGGUUUAAUAAGUCUCUGGUGAAAUCCUGUAGCUUAACUGUGGGAAUUGCUGGAGAUACUAUUAGACUUGAGACCGGGAGAGGUUAGAGGUACUCCCAGGGUAGAGGUGAAAUUCUGUAAUCCUGGGAGGACCGCCUGUUGCGAAGGCGUCUAACUGGAACGGUUCUGACGGUGAGGGACGAAAGUUAGGGGCGCGAACCGGAUUAGAUACCCGGGUAGUCCUAACUGUAAACGAUGCGGACUUGGUGUUGGGGUGGCUUUGAGCUGUUCCAGUGCCGAAGGGAAGCUGUUAAGUCCGCCGCCUGGGAAGUACGGUCGCAAGACUGAAACUUAAAGGAAUUGGCGGGGGAGCACCACAACGCGUGGAGCCUGCGGUUUAAUUGGAUUCAACGCCGGACAUCUCACCAGAGGCGACAGCUGUAUGAUAGCCAGGUUGAUGACUUUGCUUGACUAGCUGAGAGGAGGUGCAUGGCCGCCGUCAGCUCGUACCGUGAGGCGUCCCGUUAAGUCAGGCAACGAGCGAGGCCCACGCCCUUAGUUACCAGCUUAUCCUUUUUUGGAUGAUGGGCACACUAAGGGGACCGCCUAUGAUAAAUAGGAGGAAGGAGUGGACGACGGUAGGUCCGUAUGCCCCGAAUCCCCUGGGCAACACGCGGGCUACAAUGGCUAAGACAAUGGGUUCCGACACCGAAAGGUGGAGGUAAUCCUCUAAACUUAGUCGUAGUUCGGAUUGAGGACUGUAACUCGUACUCAUGAAGCUGGAAUGCGUAGUAAUCGCGUAUCACUAUUGCGCGGUGAAUACGUCCCUGCUCCUUGCACACACCGA
This 1264-nucleotide ribosomal RNA is filed under the name uncultured archaeon. RNAcentral describes it as "bacterial SSU rRNA". It matches the Rfam family "Archaeal small subunit ribosomal RNA", at positions 87 to 1349 of the family's 1478-position model. The record is from RNAcentral.